UCCAGACUCCUACGGGAGGCAGCAGUGGGGAAUAUUGCACAAUGGGGGAACCCUGAUGCAGCGACGCCGCGUGGGUGAAGGAGUACUUCGGUACGUAAAGCCCUAUCAGCAGGAAAGAAAAUGACGGUACCUGACUAAGAAGCCCCGGCUAACUACGUGCCAGCAGCCGCGGUAAUACGUAGGGGGCAAGCGUUAUCCGGAUUUGCUGGGUGUAAAGGGAGCGUAGACGGCCAGACAAGUCUGAAGUGAAAAUCCAGCGCUUAACGUUGGAAGUGCUUUGGAAACUGCCGGGCUAGAGUGCAGGAGGGGCAGGCGGAAUUCCUAGUGUAGCGGUGAAAUGCGUAGAUAUUAGGAGGAACACCAGUGGCGAAGGCGGCCUGCUGGACUGCAACUGACGUUGAGGCUCGAAGGCGUGGGGAGCAAACAGGAUUAGAUACCCCUGUAC
Molecule: ribosomal RNA, 445 nt
Filed under: uncultured bacterium
Lineage: Bacteria
Description: bacterial SSU rRNA
Rfam family: Bacterial small subunit ribosomal RNA
Source: RNAcentral